GCCGGGCUUCCUCCGAUCUACACCUCCACUCUAUCUCUCUCAAUCUAGUAGAAACUAGAAGAUCUAUUUCUACUCACAUUGGUUGCUAAGCCUAAAAAGAAAUUUUAUUUAGAGAAGAGGUUUUCCUUCGAGGGCUCCCCUCAACUCUAUGAUAAACUUGUCUCCUCCAGGGGCCAGGGGGUCUAGUUUUAUAGUCCCCUCAAGUGAACGUGAGCCAUUGGAUCAAACCAACAUUGAUUGGACGGUUAUCCUUGAUACUUUAGGUCGGUGGAGCGUCGUGUGCGAAAAGAGUCCCGAUUGGAGUACAGAGGGGGCGAGAGCCCAGGUCCUCAGGGCGGGCGCUCUGGGCCUGGCCUCUUUCGGCCUCUGCUUCGUUCUCGUGGCUUCUAGAGUCUUCUAGAUGGUAGAAAAUUGUGCGGUGCGUUGAUAUCUCUAUGUAAUCCUAACAUGUGGGCCUUUCUUCCUUAUUUCCUGAUAACCCCCUGCAGAAACAGAUAAACAACAAAACUCGUGGAAUUCUGUCAGAUCAAACCCUAAUUCUAGGUGUUGUUUGUAUAUUGGUCCUUUCUCUUAUUUAUUUGAUAAUUAAAAUUGAUACUUAAGAACCGUCAACAAAUACCCCCAUACUUAGGCUUUUACUCGUCCUCGAGAAAAGGAUGGUUAAGAACAAUAUCUGGGGUAAAACAUUUUUAAAAUAUUCUCUUCAUAACUGCAGGGUGUUAAAAUCUACUGUGAACUAUAGUCAGGGAAGUAUAUGGUUAAGAGUAGAGAUUCUUUCUUCUCAAUCCUGUCACUUGGAGUUUUUGUAUAUUUUUAAAAGAAAGUUAGCAUACCUUUUAUCCUCAUAGGUCUUCUCAGAUCACUCAUUAUCUUUUAUAUAUCUCACUGAGGCUGUUUUAAUUUGCAAAAAUUCUCAAGCAUACUUACCUUGUAUUUAUUGCCUGAUCAAAACGGGAUCCGAGGAGGGGAAUGUCAUGCUCUUAGAUCAAAGACUUUGGAAAUUAAAAUCUUUGUCAACUCUUGCUGGCAUAUUGCUUAUUAGAGGGACCAUGGGCUAUCAUUUUCUUUUUCUUCUUUUUUUUAAGUGGAUACCGAGGUACCCCUAAUUCUACUGCUGGACGCUUGUCCAUUUUUUUCUGCGAGGUUAUCGAGCACUUGUUCCUUUUUAUUUCCUCGAAAUAUCUUUAUUUUUUGCAUAGCCCAUGCCUCUAGUGCAAUAAUACUUUGGAAGAGUGAAUCUUUCUGAAUAAAUGUCUUGAUCUUAGGAGCAUGAUAAAUCUCUCAACAAGGGUCUAACUCAUUUUGAACAAACUCAAUACAGAGUAGAUAGCUUUUAUAAUCAUAAUUAAUAUUUUCAGUUUUUAUCAGGCAUAUAAAACACUGAGGAUGGUAGCUAGAAUUUUGAAGAUUUUGAAAUAAAUUCUCCAAGCAACAAUGAUAUCAAGAAUAAGAAACUCAUACUUUACCAUCUCACAUUCCAUACUGUUGAUGCAAAAGUGGAUCUGCAAACACAAAGAGCUAAUACCCGAUUUCAAAUGUUAAGGCGUGCCAGCCGAUUUGACCUUGCUAUCGGCAAAGGUGAUAACUCGAAUACUUUGGUCCCGACAACAGCGAUGCGCCCGGAUGUCACGGCCAAGAGGUAUUCACGCGGAACUCGAGAAUACGCCGAGCUUAAGUCGACGAACUCCUAAGAACUCGUAAUGAAAAAGAAAAUAUGAUGAAGUCGUCGAAAAAGU
This 1736-nucleotide long non-coding RNA is filed under the name Sorghum bicolor (sorghum). RNAcentral describes it as "long non-coding RNA (SBIC_LNC017254)". Lineage: Eukaryota; Viridiplantae; Streptophyta; Magnoliopsida; Poales; Poaceae. The record is from RNAcentral.